This is a long non-coding RNA of Solea solea (common sole), 1146 nucleotides long. RefSeq lists it as uncharacterized. NCBI's taxonomy places the organism in Eukaryota, Metazoa, Chordata, Actinopteri, Pleuronectiformes, Soleidae. The record is from RefSeq and is a predicted model, not a curated record. The transcript has 3 exons.
CAACAGUUUCGUGAUGUUACUUUGAAGAGAAGCUGCACGAGCAGUGGAACGAAAAAAAAGACAUGAAAAAAGUGUCGCUGCUUAACUACUGAAACUGUUCCUGGAGGAAGGAACUUGUGGUGGUAAUGCACCAACCACACAAAAACUUCAAAAAAGAAAGAGGGAACUUUUAAAAAAGAAGAGUUAAAAAAAGGAAACUACCGCGUCGUGACGUCAGACGCCGAAAAGUUGGUCGCGUGCAUCAGCUCCUGUAUUAAAAACGCAGCAAGGCGCUCCAGGAUGGCGUGUUCGACCUGGUCCAGAUUGGUGGCCCGUCCAGAAUGGAACAACCUGCUUCCUGCUCACGGAGACCUGGUCGGACCCGCCAUAUACAAAAGCCUGAGGCUGUCAAAAAAAGAUUGAUCUUCAUGAAGACUGCAAAUAGUAGGUGUCAUGAUUUAAUUCUGGGUGGCCGCCGUGUCCCCACUCUUUCUUGGCCGCUGUGCCUACAUCUCUCUGCAUUGUCCAACAUGGCCACGUUCUUUCUAUUCUCCUGCUUUCCAUCUGUCAAAUAGCUGAGGGUUGUACAUGGAGCAUUUGCCACAGGUUGGUUUUUUUAUGUUCCUGUCCACUUUAUUGGGUGGUCUGAAAUCUGGUCCUUGUUGGUUAUAUUUUUGUGGAACUGCUGAGCAAGUGAUUUGAAAGAAUGAGGUGACUGAUGGAGUGUUUGUAAUUCUCUCUCUGAAUGAAUGGGUUGUGUGUGACUGAGAUGCCUGGAUUGAAUAGUUAAGAUGGUCUGAGAAUAUGAUUAUGUUCAGCAGUUCACAUUAAAAUAGAUAUGGUGUCUUGAAGGGCUUAGCUGCUUGAUAAGUUAUAAUGCACUAACAUUUCCUUUUUAGGUCUGUCUACAAAGGGUGAGUCCAUUUUUUUUUUAUUUCUUUGGCAGAGUAGGGAAAUAAACAAAAGAAAACUUGUGUGUUUUUUUGAAAGUGAACACACCUCUCUAUGGAGGCGUCUUCUUGCCUUCCCACUGUGCCCUUAACCACUUUUUCUUUCCAACUGUUUCUUAAGACGAUAAGUCACACGCAGGCCACGGGCCAUCGCUCUUCUGGCCGCCGUGUCGAUCUGUCCUGGCUCUCUGGCCUUUCCUCACUUCUAAAAGGGAAA